GAUGACUAUUCAGAAUUACAUUCAUUACAAACACACGUGAGAGGUAGCAAGAAUAUUGUUCAUAGAAGAACUCAAUGUGUUGCCUAAAGCUACUUACCUAAUUUACUAUUCAAAAAAAUACAACUGUUUAUUGAGGACACAACCUGACUUAAAGUAGAAAAAAGGCCCUAAUUAUUUUCCUGUAUUCUUGACUUCAGAGAAUGGUACCACCAUCUUUUCAAUUGUGGGGCCAGGAUGAUGCCUCAAGUUGGAUGACAGGAGUAGAUGGUGUUGAUGGUCAAGGAGUGGAUAGAAUAUCCAGCACACAGGACAAAAAGAUGAUUCGGGUCUCAGAUGGGAUGGAGCAGGAUCAUA
Long non-coding RNA from Carlito syrichta (Philippine tarsier), 354 nucleotides. RefSeq lists it as uncharacterized. The record is from RefSeq and is a predicted model, not a curated record. Lineage: Eukaryota; Metazoa; Chordata; Mammalia; Primates; Tarsiidae. The transcript is spliced from 3 exons.